RNAcentral lists this small RNA (394 nucleotides) under Pan troglodytes (chimpanzee). RNAcentral describes it as "processed transcript". Lineage: Eukaryota; Metazoa; Chordata; Mammalia; Primates; Hominidae. The record is from RNAcentral.
GUAACUGGGACUACAGGCGCCCGCCACCUCGCCUGGCUAAUUUUUUGUAUUUUUGGUAGAGACGGGGUUUCACCGUGUUAGCCAGGAUGGUCUUGAUCUCCUGACCUCGUGAUCCGCCUGCCUCGGCCUCCCAAAGUGCUGGGAUUACAGGCGUGAGCCACCGCGCCCCGGCAGCAAAGGGACCAUUAAAAAUCUUUAAUUGUGCCAGAUGUCUCUGACUACCGAGUCAACAUUCACUGAUUGAGCCAUGAAGAUUGAGGUUUUUCUUUCGUUUAAAGAUGACACACUCUGAAAUUAAUUUGAUUUUGAGAUUUGAGAACUUGGACAUACAUACUUCCUAUGGAAGGAGUCAUGCUAUACUGAAAAGACACUUGAUCAAGAGAACUCUGGGAGA